AUUGAACGCUGGCGGCAGGCUUAACACAUGCAAGUCGAGCGGGGGAAGGUAGCUUGCUACUGGACCUAGCGGCGGACGGGUGAGUAAUGCUUAGGAAUCUGCCUAUUAGUGGGGGACAACAUCUCGAAAGGGAUGCUAAUACCGCAUACGUCCUACGGGAGAAAGCAGGGGAUCUUCGGACCUCGCGCUAAUAGAUGAGCCUAAGUCGGAUUAGCUAGUUGGUGGGGUAAAGGCCUACCAAGGCGACGAUCUGUAGCGGGUCUGAGAGGAUGAUCCGCCACACUGGGACUGAGACACGGCCCAGACUCCUACGGGAGGCAGCAGUGGGGAAUAUUGGACAAUGGGGGGAACCCUGAUCCAGCCAUGCCGCGUGUGUGAAGAAGGCCUUAUGGUUGUAAAGCACUUUAAGCGAGGAGGAGGCUACUCUAGUUAAUACCUAGGGAUAGUGGACGUUACUCGCAGAAUAAGCACCGGCUAACUCUGUGCCAGCCGCCGCGGUAA
This 501-nucleotide ribosomal RNA is filed under the name uncultured bacterium. RNAcentral describes it as "partial 16S ribosomal RNA". It matches the Rfam family "Bacterial small subunit ribosomal RNA", at positions 30 to 523 of the family's 1533-position model. The record is from RNAcentral.